This 492-nucleotide ribosomal RNA is filed under the name uncultured bacterium. Its description in RNAcentral is "partial 16S ribosomal RNA". It matches the Rfam family "Bacterial small subunit ribosomal RNA", at positions 29 to 507 of the family's 1533-position model. The record is from RNAcentral.
AGUGAACGCUGGCGGUAGGCCUAACACAUGCAAGUCGAACGGCAGCACAGUAAGAGCUUGCUCUUACGGGUGGCGAGUGGCGGACGGGUGAGGAAUACAUCGGAAUCUACUUUUUCGUGGGGGAUAACGUAGGGAAACUUACGAUAAUACCGCAUACGACCUACGGGUGAAAGCAGGGGAUCUUCGGACCUUGCGCGAUUGAAUGAGCCGAUGUCGGAUUAGCUAGUUGGCGGGGUAAAGGCCCACCAAGGCGACGAUCCGUAGCUGGUCUGAGAGGAUGAUCAGCCACACUGGAACUGAGACACGGUCCAGACUCCUACGGGAGGCAGCAGUGGGGAAUAUUGGACAAUGGGCGCAAGCCUGAUCCAGCCAUACCGCGUGGGUGAAGAAGGCCUUCGGGUUGUAAAGCCCUUUUGUUGGGAAAGAAAAGCAGCAGGUUAAUACCCCGCUGUUCUGACGGUACCCAAAGAAUAAGCACCGGCUAACUUCGGG